UAUCCGUAGGUGAACCUGCGGAAGGAUCAUUAAUGAGAACUAAGGGUAGUAGUCUCGGCUAUUACUCUGAACACUCCACCCUUUGUUUAUAUUACCUUUGUUGCUUUAGCAGUCCCGCUCUCGAGCCGCCGGCACCUGCUGGCUAGUGCCGGCUAAAGAACCUAAAACUCGUGUUAAUAAUACGGUCUGAGUACUAUAUAAUAGUUAAAACUUUCAACAACGGAUCUCUUGGUUCUG
This 237-nucleotide unclassified non-coding RNA is filed under the name plant metagenome. Its description in RNAcentral is "partial contains small subunit ribosomal RNA, internal transcribed spacer 1, and 5.8S ribosomal RNA". The record is from RNAcentral.